AUCGCUUUUUUUUUUUUAACCAGAAAAUUGUUCUAAGCAGCGCCUUUUGCUAGUGCAACAAGGUGCAGUGGGAUACAGGGACAUGACUCCCACCUUUCUCAGCUGUACUUUAAAUUGCUACUCUCUGGUUAAAUGUCCCCCACUUAGUACUUUUUCUGUUUAAAUGUUGUAGUAAAGACAGAAAAGUAAAAAGCCUAUGUUGCCCCCACAUAAUCUAGUUGUCUAUCCAAAAAGAAAGCCAAGUCAGGCCUUGUUAUAUUGUAUAGCUUAGCUUAUCUGUUAAAUGUUUUUGCAACAGACAUCCAAUGCAGUCAAUCUGCCCUUCAAUAGUUCACUCACUUAUAAUUAAAAAAACUGUAUGGAUUCUCCUUUACGUUUGCAAAACCACACACAUGUAGCUGUUGAGGCAAUUAUUUUACAUCUUUCCUGAUUUUUCCUUUCAAACAUGUUUCUCUGUCGAAUGUAUGUCCCGCCGAAUCUGUUUACCUUGUCAAAUAAAUGUAUUUACCCUUAUAAAUGGUAUUCUUAUCUUUGUUUCCGAUUUGUACAUCAAUUAACGAUGGAGCACAUUGACCAGCUGGCUUAUAUUGAGUUGCGCUACUAAUAUGGAUGCAUCGUAGUUCAACUUUGAAACAGCGAAAAGUAAAGCAAACAUGUGAUUUACUAUGUAACUUAUCAUCAUGUUGGGUGAUAGGCAAUAUUAACAUUUGUUACAAACCAGAAAACAUUAGAAAUCGUAGAAAAACGUUGCCUGAUCAUCGAUAGAUGCAGGUUGUUUCACCUCAACAAAUGACAUAAUUUCUUUCUCGGCAUAUGAUUAAAAAAAAUUUUAAACAUACUCAAACUCGACAAAUUUCACUAUGAAAUGUUAGAGAUGUGCCUUCCUACCGAUUCCCCUUUCGAUUUCCCCCUUUCAAUUUUUUUAACCGAAAUCCCUUUGUCGCAGUUGACCCCGUUUCCCCAGUUGUUGUUUUUUUAACUAGCGUUGGAAUUGGUACUGAUCCCCAAGUCCCGUUCCCCAAGGUGUGUAUGGAUGGAAAUUUUUAAUCUCCCAAGUCGGAGUCUUACUCAAAGCUUCUGUAUUCCCUUCUCAUAGUUUUUCACAUUUCUUCGCAUAUUCAACGUUUAUUACAGAUUUGCUUUGAAGUGCAGGAUGCGCUGUCCAUCCCACAUUGUGGAUUGGUCAAGUAUGCAGAAAUUUUGGGGCAAACCGUCCAAUUUCGUACAAAACGGUGUUCAUCUCAUAUCGCUCUGCCUUGUUACUCAAUGUUAAAGUCAAAACAUUUUAUGGCGCAAGGCAAGCGGAGUAUGUAUGCGGCAUAUGGCUUGUGGGGAAGUCAUGAGUAGCUUUUUUGUUGUUGUUACAGUUUGACAUCUAGAAGAAAACAAAAGACCAAAAGAAACCUUUGUGAAUGUUGGAAUGCUACAAUAUUUCCAACACUUUUUUGCUACACAAUUGCUUUCAUCUUUUUUUUUUUUGGGGUUUCUUUUUUUCUUUUUUUAUUUAUUUUUUUUUUAGCUGCAGCCGACAUACCAUAAUCUCCAGCGACGACCCACCUUACUCACUCCAAUCUUUGCAUCUACUUUUGUUCCAUAUAGC
Non-coding RNA from Schizosaccharomyces pombe (fission yeast), 1600 nucleotides. The record is from the annotation of a GenBank genome assembly. NCBI's taxonomy places the organism in Eukaryota, Fungi, Ascomycota, Schizosaccharomycetes, Schizosaccharomycetales, Schizosaccharomycetaceae.